AUGCUGCCCAGAAUAAAAGACGAUGCAGUCCAGAUAAAAACAUUGUAUGGCUCAAUAAUCUUUACCAAACUUGAUGCAUCAGAUGAAGUCUUUGACUAUCUAGAAAGGGAUUUUGUAAGCUAGUACUGGACAUGAAGACAGUCACUUGGAAAUGAUGAUUGUGCAACAGCGGUUAAACAUAUGCAAUACAUCAUAUGGUGACCAGACAGGGAGGAAACUAGGGAAAUGGUUAUCCACCAACAGCCCAAGUGCUUGGUUGAUAAGAGGAGCCACAGCAUUAAACAUUACUGCACAAAGUGGUGUGCUUUGCUAACACUUAUGCUUGUGAUUUGAUAAAAAAGCAAUGAAUGAACGCUCAUUAUUCAUAACUAUAACUAAAACAUUGAUGUCAAAAGUUGUCAAUUUUCAACAUAUAUAGUAUUUGAGAUCCUGAUCUAUAGUUGUGUGCAAUGGAUUAUCAAAGAAAAACAAAAGAGUGGGCAACAAAAUGAAUAGCAUAAUGCACCAGUCAAUUGUAACCACAUCCCGCCCCCAGGUCCGGGGACUUUUGACUUU
Molecule: long non-coding RNA, 555 nt
Organism: Mya arenaria
Lineage: Eukaryota; Metazoa; Mollusca; Bivalvia; Myida; Myidae
Exons: 3
Source: RefSeq, a predicted model, not a curated record